GUCUGUGACAUCAUCAAAAGGCCCCCUGAAGACCAUGUGGUGAUUCAGCAAGAUGCCCACAAACAAAGAGAAAGUUUCUAGGCACUGGCAGAAAGUUAAUGCAGACCCAGUAGCUAGGGCAAUGCAUUUAGCAAGGAGACGAGAAAGCAACCAGAGAAGAAAGCAAGCUGCCUUGGCUGCAAAUCCUGAUCACCUGUCAAUCAGGAAUUUAUCAGAUGCUGCAGCUGAGAAGAGGCGAAAGCAAUGGCGGGAAAAUCAAAGAAAACACAGGGCAGAAGCUAAACGUAUAAGGGCAGUUCUGGAUCUUAUUAUACAGUAUUACCACCUGUUCAGUUCAUUUUUACGAAUAUGAUAUGCAUUAUGGAAUAAAAAUGAUUAUUAAUUUCA
Molecule: non-coding RNA, 387 nt
Organism: Misgurnus anguillicaudatus (oriental weatherfish)
Lineage: Eukaryota; Metazoa; Chordata; Actinopteri; Cypriniformes; Cobitidae
Source: RefSeq, a predicted model, not a curated record